This 344-nucleotide ribosomal RNA is filed under the name Hydrophis melanocephalus. RNAcentral describes it as "partial 12S rRNA". The record is from RNAcentral. Lineage: Eukaryota; Metazoa; Chordata; Lepidosauria; Squamata; Elapidae.
UACCAGCAUUUCGCCAAACCACUAUGAGUGAAAACUUAAAAUUUAAAAGACUUGACGGUACUUCAUAACAUCCUAGAGGAGCCUGUCUAAUAACCGAUAACCCACGAUUAACCCAACCCGCUCUGGCCCAACAGUCUAUAUACCGCCGUCGCCAGCUUACCUUAUGAAAGAAACAAAGUAAGCCCAAGAACACCCCAUUAGCACGACAGGUCGAGGUGUAACUAAUGAGGGGGACCAAGAUGGGCUACAUUUUCUAACCUAGAAAAAACGAACAGACUAUGAAACUAGAAACUGAAGGUGGAUUUAGCAGUUAGAUAGGAAUAUACUACCUAACUGAACACAAC